UCAUAUUUUGGAAAGUUGACCAGUUAAAAUUUUAACAUAGUUAUAACUUGUGAGAAAUCUAAGUAUAAGGAAGUAUAGCAUCCCAAAUGUAGUAAAGUUUGACCGUAUAGCGAUUUCCUACAUUGCCAUUACGAGUUGGGGGACUUGGGAAUAAUCUGGGAUGGUAAAGUAGAAAGAAAUAAUAUAAUCAGAUAACUAAACAGCCCAUUAAGAGGCCUAAUAUGUAUUGUUAUCAUGCGUUCUAUAUGGUAGGGCUAGGCCCAAUUACACCAACCGCGCGUACGAUACACUCGCGAACUCUGCGAAAUUCCUUAGUUGCAAGUUCCAAACAUAUCAAGUUCUUCUUCUUCUUCCUUCCUUCGUGUUCCGCCCGAGAAGAUCGAAGUAACUGGGAAAAAUAAUCGAAAGAGAUCUGUCCGGUGGGAACAAUAAUGGCUCUGACAUGCGUGAAUAUGUCGGAAGAUGUGUGGUUAACUUGCCUGACUCACGCAUUGUCCACCGAGACCGAAGAGAUCAUGGGGCUCCUCCUCGGCGACAUCCAGUACUCGAAGAACGGAAGCGCGACGGCUAUGAUAUGGGGAGCAUCGCCGCAGUCAAGGUCUGAUAGGCAGAAGGAUCGUGUAGAAACCAACCCUGAACAGCUGGCUGCUGCUUCUGCUCAGGCUGAGAGAAUGAGCAUAUCAACGGGCAGAACAACGCGUGUGAUUGGAUGGUAUCACUCCCAUCCUCAUAUCACCGUCCUUCCUUCACAUGUCGAUGUUCGGACACAAGCAAUGUAUCAGCUUCUUGAUUCUGGUUUUAUUGGCCUCAUUUUCUCCUGUUUUAGUGAAGAUGCUAACAAGAUUGGUAGAAUCCAAGUUAUCGCUUUCCAGUCCUCUGAUGGGAACUCCAACACUCCUCCUAAAUCAAUGAGCCUGGUUCUUUCAAAUAAAGACUCUGUCAUCGAUCUAGAAUCCUCUUUAAGCUCUUCAGACUCAGUAUACCAGAGUUCCUCUUCUGCUAAGGGACACAAUGCUGACCAAGACACGACUGAUACAGCUUCAUCUUCCGGACCUAAGGGUGGGGGACGAGUUUCAGAUUUUGGGGCUUUCUUUGUUAAAAAUGCUGAGGCCAAAGCCACCGGGACGAGUGGAAACUACAGCUCAGCUGUGGAAAUUGAUUCAAUGGACAUGUCUGAAAGCAUGCAAGAAGCCAUGCUCCGUUCCAACUUGGAAACUAGUGGUGUGGGGUACGUUAAGAAAGAAGUCCCGCUUCAUGUUUUACCGACUUCAUCACUUCUUCAGCUCAAUUCACCUUUAGCCUCUUUUAAAGAUCUACAACGAGUGCUCUACGAGGAGGAACGAGCAGCGUACCACCAAUCAGUCCUGCAAAGCAUGAGAAAUGGGAAAGUUCAUCCCCUUGCUUUCAUUCACAACACGUCAACAUAUCAGGCUUCCAUGUGCAAGCUGAUCGAGUACUGCUUGAGUCCUGCGGUUAACGCACUUCAAGAUAGGCUGAGGGAAAACAAGAUCCGGUUAGCAAUGCUGAUGAGUGAAGCUGAAGGUCUGGAAGCACAGAAACUUAAAGGACCAGAGACGAGUGGAGGGACAUCUCGUUUGGUUCAUGGUUCUGGCAGCCGAAGCAGAAGAGGAUCCUAAGACUAAGAGGGAGGCAAUAUAAUAUCGAAUGCCUUUUUACUCUUUGUGUAUUGAGCUAUUUCGACAUUGUGUUUUCUUUCAUUUGUAUCAUAUUAAGUCAUUUGUAUCAUAUUAAGGCAUUCAGAAAACUCUAGUACCCCCAUUUCGUUAGAUAUGAUUUUCAUCUUUAGGAGGCCAUAAUCCUCAUUGUUUCUACCAAUUUGAAUAAGCUAUUGCUUGCUUACAGUAA
Molecule: RNA transcript, 1866 nt
Organism: Brassica rapa (field mustard)
Lineage: Eukaryota; Viridiplantae; Streptophyta; Magnoliopsida; Brassicales; Brassicaceae
Source: RefSeq, a predicted model, not a curated record